RNAcentral lists this small nucleolar RNA (199 nucleotides) under Aureobasidium subglaciale EXF-2481. The record is from RNAcentral. Lineage: Eukaryota; Fungi; Ascomycota; Dothideomycetes; Dothideales; Saccotheciaceae.
CAGUCCUCUGCCUCGCUCAACCUCCUGCCUUCUCCCAUCAAGAAGUUUCGAGCUGGAUACCCUCCUUUCCUUUCUCUUCGGAGAAGGACAGGCGGAGUAAUGGACAAGAACAAUCUUCCCGAAGGUCUUUGAGUACGACUGCUUUCGUCAUGUUUCAAGGAUUGCUUUACUUGGUCGUAAUUUACCUCUCGGGACAUCU